UACGUAUGGUGCAAGCGUUAUCCGGAUUUACUGGGUGUAAGGGGAGCGCAGGCGGCACGGCAAGCCUGAUGUGAAAGCCCGCGGCCCAACCGCGGGACUGCAUUGGGAACUACCGGGCUGGAGUGCCGGAGAGGUAGGCGGAAUUCCUAGUGUAGCGGUGAAAUGCGUAGAUAUUAGGAGGAACACCAGUGGCGAAGGCGGCCCACUGGACGGUGACUGACGCUGAGGCUCGAAAGCGUGGGGAGCAAACAGG
Molecule: ribosomal RNA, 253 nt
Filed under: uncultured bacterium
Lineage: Bacteria
Description: partial 16S ribosomal RNA
Rfam family: Bacterial small subunit ribosomal RNA
Source: RNAcentral